UAACAAAGGACCUGGUGGCCCCUCAUCAUUCCCAGCUCCUCAUGGGGUAGCUUUGAUGGCUCCGAAGAGUGUGAUGACACCAUUGUGAAGGGUCUCAAGGAACGAUCACCCCCACCAGAGCUUGACAGAACAGGGACCGAAUGACCCGUUGGCCUCCUGCUACGGACUCGCAUAGGACACUGCAGUGAGCUCUGGACCUUUGACUGAAUCCAUUAGUCUUGUGUGCAGACAGACUCUGCACUCUUCCACAUCCAACUCUGUGGGUGGCCAUUCCUCCUGAGGUACAGACUGUGCUUUCCAGGGGAGGUGUGCGCUGCCUGGCUCGAGGCCAGAGCAAACCUCCUCCUCCCGAGCGCCCGCUGUGCAGUGUACUGACUGGGAAGUCGUCGUCCCCCCCUCCCCUUCACGUCUGACCAGCUACAGAUCAGCUCUCCGUGACGAGACCUGAGGAAACCUGGAGAUGCUGCUGGAGGAAAGUGAGCCAGGGCUGAGGCCUGGCGCUCAGGGUGGGCGAAGAAUCUCUCCGCUGCCUGCUUCCCUGUAUGCCGUGGUCUCUGGAGGAGCUCUCAGAAAAACAACAGCCCAGGGCCCACUGCUGUUUCUACAACAAUGAGAAUAUUUAUUUUUUUCCAGACAGUAAAAAUAACAUUUUUCUCUCUUUUGUAAAAGUUAAGUACCAUUACAUUCCAUUUUCUUAAAUAACAAAAUCCUAAAAAUAUAUAUUAAAUUGUAUACAGUGCAUCACACUUCAUUUUAUAUUUUAAAAUACAUGAUGUUUCUAUUUUAUUCUCAGAGUUGCAUAUUAAGAGCAUAUUUACAAAUAAAGCCUUGUCAUCUAAAGUCAAAAUCCCGGCUGGGAAGUGACUUGGAUGUGGGAAGGUCCUGGCGCCAUGUGAACCCCAGGGGUGGCAGCCCCCUGCACAGGCAGGAAGGGGACCUCCUCGGACACUUCCCUUCUGAAGCGAGAGAUUCACCUCUGACUGCCCUCCUCCGCCCGCCCCACGGCCCGCGUCUGCCUCAGAGAGUGCCCGACCCCUGCUCCGCAGGACAGGAGCCUGUGGCACGGCCCGCAGAGGUCUGUCUCCCCUGCGCCGUCCCGCCUGAGGGAGCCAGCAGAGGCUGGGAGAUUUGAAAAACACCCCACACCAGGACAGCUGAACUGAGAAACCUGGCCAGGAGGUAGAACAGGGAGAAGGUAAACAAAGACACCAGAGGAAACAAAGUGUUAAAAAUUCCCAAGGUAGUAACAAAAGCCAACAUCAAACACCAAACAGGAGAUUUGAAACCCAGGAGGCCCCGGAGGACUGAGCUGUGGAGUGGGGGUCUCUGAGGCUGUCCACUUCUAAGUGCUUGUGAAGAUUAAGUGCAUGGUGCCCACAGGAGCUGGGUGGUGGCCUGCUGUGCGCCCUGCUGGUAGACCAGCAGCCAGACUCCGAUCCCAAGUGGGGUCAGGCAGGCUCCCGGCUGGCCUGACUGAGGCGUGGGGGUGGCGUCAGGCCCGGGCACGCCUCGGGUUCAACCUGAGGGCCAGGACAGCUGUACUUGCAAGUGCUUUGAUCUUUGUGGGCCGCUGGCUGGCUUACGUCUGGAGCCAAAGCCCUCAACCCAGUGCUGACUGAUGUGGGGAAAGGCACGGGGUUCAUUCCUGCUCGGCCUCUGCUUUGAAAUGGAUGGGGCAGGCAGGGAAGAGCACAGGGCAGCCAGGGCCUCCACCGGCCUUCAGAGGGACCUAGGCAGUGAGACGCUCCCAGACGCCGGGCAGCCAGGCCCCAGUCGGCCGCGGUGCAGUCACCACAGGAGCAACACACGGGUGGGUGCGCAUGCAGGAAGGCAGGCGGGGUGCCGCAGGGCCGAGGCUGAGCACAGCGCACAGGCUGCGCUGUCCCCUUGGGAAAGGCUCUGGGCCUUCCUCUGCCUCUUUCAAGGUCUCCUUUUUUUUUUUGAGACAGGGUCUCGAUAUGGAGUUCAGGCUGGCCUUGAG
Molecule: long non-coding RNA, 1981 nt
Organism: Chinchilla lanigera (long-tailed chinchilla)
Lineage: Eukaryota; Metazoa; Chordata; Mammalia; Rodentia; Chinchillidae
Exons: 3
Source: RefSeq, a predicted model, not a curated record